AUGAACGCUGGCGGCGUGCUUACACAUGCAAGUCGAGCGAGGCCAGGGGGCAACUCCCUGAGUCGAGCGGCGGACGGGUGAGUAACACGUGGGUAACCUACCCGGAAGUGGGGAAUACCUCGGGGAAACACGAGCUAAUACCGCAUGACAUCUUCGGGACGAAAGUUCUGACGAUCAAAGCGGGGUCGCAAGACCUCGCGCUACCGGAUGGGCCCGCGCCCGAUUAGCUAGUUGGUGAGGUAACGGCUCACCAAGGCUCCGACGGGUAGCCGGACUGAGAGGUCGAUCGGCCACAUGGGGACUGAGACACGGCCCCAACUCCUUCGGGAGGCAGCAGCAGGGAAUCUUGCGCAAUGGGGGCAACCCUGACGCAGCGACGCCGCGUGGGUGAUGAAGGCCUUCGGGUCGUAAAACCCUGUGACCAGGGAGGAGAAAGGACAGUACCCGGUCAGCAAGCCUCGGCUAACUCCGUGCCAGCAGCCGCGGUAAGACGGAGGAGGCAAGCGUUAUCCGGAUUUACUGGGCGUCAAGGGCGCGUAGGCGGCCUGACAGGUCGUGGGUGAAAGCCCCGGGCUCAACCCGGGGAGGUCCCGCGAUACCAUCAGGCUUGAGGAUCGUAGAGGGGGGCGGAAUUCCCGGUGGAGCGGUGGAAUGCGUAGAUAUCGGGAGGAACACCCGAGGCGAAGGCGGCCCCCUGGGCGAUACCUGACGCUGAGGCGCGAAAGCGUGGGGAGCAAAGCGGAUUAGAUACCCGCGUAGUCCACGCCCUCAACUCUGAACCCUAGGUAUGGGGGGUACCGACCCCUCCCGUGCCGACGCUUACGCUUUAAGGGUUCCGCCUGGGGACUACGGUCGCAAGACUCAAACUCAAAGGAAUUGACGGGGGCCCGCACAAGCGGUGGAGCGUGUGGUUUAAUUCGAUGCUAAACGCAGAACCUUACCCGGGCUCAAAGGACUGGUGGUACUCGCCUGAAAGGGAGGGGGACCCGCAAGGGAGCCAGCCCAGGUGCUGCAUGGCUGUCGUCAGCUCGUGCCGUGAGGUGUUGGGUUAAGUCCCGCAACGAGCGCAACUCCCGCCGCCAGUUACACUCUCUGGCGGGACAGCGGCGCAAAACGCCGAGGAAGGUGGGGAUGAUGUCAAGUCAGCAUGGCUCUUACGUCCGGGGCUACACACACGCUACAAUGGGCAGCGCAAAGGGUCGCCAAGGCGCAAGCCGGAGCUAAUCCCAUCAAAGCUGCUCUCAGUGCAGAUUGGCGGCUGCAACCCGCCGCCAUGAAGCCGGAAUCGCUAGUAAUCGCCGAUCAGCAUGUGGCGAUGAAUACGUUCCCGGGCAUUGUACACACCGC
This 1347-nucleotide ribosomal RNA is filed under the name uncultured bacterium. Its description in RNAcentral is "bacterial SSU rRNA". It matches the Rfam family "Bacterial small subunit ribosomal RNA", at positions 29 to 1393 of the family's 1533-position model. The record is from RNAcentral.